This 447-nucleotide long non-coding RNA is filed under the name Nicotiana benthamiana. RNAcentral describes it as "long non-coding RNA (NBEN_LNC013370)". Lineage: Eukaryota; Viridiplantae; Streptophyta; Magnoliopsida; Solanales; Solanaceae. The record is from RNAcentral.
AGGCAUGUUGCUCUUCACGAUCGCAUAGUCACUCUCGCGAUCGUGUAAGGUAAAUGGGGACGGGGGUGAUUUUGUUCAAUGCGAAUGCGAGGGAAGGAACACGAAUGCGGAGCACCGGGGGAUUGCUCUACGCGAACACAAUCCACGUCCCGCGAACGCAUAGAGUAAAUGGGGGUUGGUGUGGAAUUGAAUAUUUUCCUCUACGCGAACACGUUCAUAGGCCCGCGAAUGCGAAGGUCAGUGGGGCCAAACCUUCUCGAACGUGUAUGAGGAAUUUCGAUUGUAUAAGCAUGUGUAAGGCUACUCUUUGCGAAAGCGGGAGACCUACCGCGAACACGAUGAAGGUCUGCCCGGCGAUUUAAACAGUAUAUUAAACAAGAAUUGUUCAAAUUUCAUAACUUCUUCAUCUCAACUCCAAAUUGGGCGAUUUUUGAAAGAGGAUUUCAC